Molecule: transfer RNA, 71 nt
Filed under: Actinomycetota bacterium
Lineage: Bacteria; Bacillati; Actinomycetota
Description: tRNA-Gln
Rfam family: tRNA
About the family: Transfer RNA (tRNA) molecules are approximately 80 nucleotides in length.
Source: RNAcentral
UGGGGAGUCGUCUAACGGCAAGACGCUCGCCUUUGGAGCGAGAGAUCGGGGUUCGAUUCCCUGCUCCCCAG